AACAUACUCUUUUUUACAUAGUCCUAGAGACAGUUUUAUCUCUUAGACUACAAUAGUUAUUAGGAAGAACUUUAUUACAUACAUUAUCGUUGGAUAAGUUACGCAUAUGUAUGCAUACAAUUGUAUUAUUUUGUAGUAAUAUUGUUUUUAUGGGCAAUAAAUAUAUUUUGUAUUGUAUUGUGAAUUUAGUUUUAAUAAAAAAAUUACAAAAGUCGACAGAGAAAGUCGUUCUGACAACUGAUAACAAUUUUUGUAUGAAUACAACGAAAAUAAAUAAAAUUACUUUGUGCACAUAUGUAUCAAGUAAAAAUCUUACAAUUUCGUUGCGGGCUAUGACCGCGCUCUGCGUUACACCGUACGCUAUGCCACUAUGGACCAAUCACAUAUGGACCAAUGGUGGGCUUAUUGCUAAGCGAUUUCUUCCAGCCAGCUUUUGGGUAGUGAGAGAGGAUGGGCACGUGGUGGACGCAAUAUUGGGUGGUUCUCCGAGCGUUUCGACCGCUGCCGGAAAAUUAACGGAUCAUAAUCCGUCAAUUUUCUUGAGGAAGGAAUCAUUUCCAAAAGCAAUCAAUCAUUCAUAAAAUUUACAUUAUACCACAUAACAGAUUAAGGAUUUUGAGGUAAGAUACAUAAACUGAUAAACUGAUUUUUGUGUUUGUUAAAAUUUGAAAAAUUGCAAAAACGCGCGGCCGCAUCGGUCGAAACCACGGAAAAAUAGUAAUGCGUAUGAGAACCGCUGUCAACAAAUUCGCAAAUUUAUAUUUUACGUAAGUAGUACACUGAAAAUUAUCCAAUGAGAACGGGCAUAAGUACACCCGAAGUCUGUGGACUGAUUACUGGAAUUGGAUCGAUCAGUGCCCUUCAGUUUCAAUAUAAUAACGCGUUUAGGGUACUGUUGAGGCUGCCACAAUAUGAUGUUGCAGUACAUCUGUAUGUUUGCGGAUGCAAUGGAUUUACGCUGUGCUUUCAAACGGACACGUAAUCUUACAGCAGAUCGGUUUGUCCUGAAAAUGUUAGGGUUUGUUUCCUGAAAUUAAAAAACUACAUUCACGUGGUCGAUCUGCGGACAGAAAGUACUAUUUACUAUUAUAUAAAAUUAAAGGCUGUCCUGCUUGUUUCAUUUAUUACUUCCUUAUUAUGUCCUCUGUAUAAAAUGAAGAUGCAAGCGGGACAUUACGCAGAUUAGAGAGUUUCGAUGAAUAUUUGACGACCUCGGUGGCGAAGUGGUAAAGUGCUUGCCUCUGAACCGAGAGGUCCCGGGUUCGAUCCCCGGUCGGGUCAUGAUGGAAAAUGAUCUUUUUCUGAUUGGCCCGGGUCUUGGAUGUUUAUCUAUAUAUGUAUUUGUUAUAAAAUAUAGUAUCGUUGAGUUAGUAUCCCGUAACACAAGUCUCGAACUUACUUUGGGGCUAGCUCAAUCGGUGUGAUUUGUCCUAAUAGAUUUAUUUAUUUAGUAUGAAAAUAAAAUAAUUUAUUUUAUAUAUUUUUA
Long non-coding RNA from Plodia interpunctella (Indianmeal moth), 1486 nucleotides. RefSeq lists it as uncharacterized. The transcript has 2 exons. The record is from RefSeq and is a predicted model, not a curated record. Lineage: Eukaryota; Metazoa; Arthropoda; Insecta; Lepidoptera; Pyralidae.